UUAAUUGAAACCAAAAUUGAGGUCUAUCACUGUUAAUGAUAUCACUGGGUUUAAGCCCCAAUUAAG
RNAcentral lists this transfer RNA (66 nucleotides) under Smaragdina concolor. RNAcentral describes it as "tRNA-Asn". Lineage: Eukaryota; Metazoa; Arthropoda; Insecta; Coleoptera; Chrysomelidae. The record is from RNAcentral.